This 138-nucleotide unclassified non-coding RNA is filed under the name uncultured Basidiobolus. Its description in RNAcentral is "sequence contains ITS1". Lineage: Eukaryota; Fungi; Basidiobolomycota; Basidiobolomycetes; Basidiobolales; Basidiobolaceae. The record is from RNAcentral.
AUUAACAAAUCUACAACAAUUCCUGUGCAAACGUCGGUGCCGGCGGCGCAGCUGCCGGCCCACCAGUACACGUUCAUUGGUGGCGGUAGAGACACAAUGCAGACAACUUUUAACAAUGGAUCUCUUGGCUCUUGCAUC